GCAGCAGGUGAUGCCCCAUUUCUGAUGAGUAGCUAUUUUAGAUCUAGGCCGGGAGAGCUGGAGGCAGUAGUUUGCUGCCUGACAUUAUGGAAGGAACAUUGCCUGGUGGAGCUGUUGUGACUGCAACAACUAGAAGCAAGGUGUUGCAGGAGAGAGGUGGGUGUUGUGCCCAGAGGCAGUCGGAGACAAGCACUGUGGCUGGUUGGGGACUUCCUACACCACCACACACAAUUUACGUAAGAUGUGAAAAAUAUCCGUCUCGUAUGAGAUGUCUUCCAGCUGUUUGUCUCCUGAGAAUGGUCCCCUUGAUAAAGGUUUUUUUUUUUUUUUUCUUUGAAAGGUAAACUACAAUUUGUUGGGAUU
This is a long non-coding RNA of Alligator mississippiensis (American alligator), 363 nucleotides long. RefSeq lists it as uncharacterized. NCBI's taxonomy places the organism in Eukaryota, Metazoa, Chordata, Crocodylia, Alligatoridae. The record is from RefSeq and is a predicted model, not a curated record. The transcript is spliced from 3 exons.